RNAcentral lists this unclassified non-coding RNA (268 nucleotides) under uncultured fungus. Its description in RNAcentral is "sequence contains ITS1". The record is from RNAcentral. Lineage: Eukaryota; Fungi.
GUAAAGAUAUACAAAGUAUAUAACACAAACAUUCUGAUAACAAGCGUAAAAUGUUUAGAUAGAAACAUAAACCUGAAGAGAAACAAGAAAAGCUACAAAGCAGUUCUCAGUCCAAGAAUUAAACUUGAUGAACCUCUAUCAGGUUUACAGGAGAUGCACAGGUGGCUAAAAAUCAGACAAGUGUGCCUGCUCACUUGUAAAAGCCAGCAAGCCCACCUGACUAAUAUUUGUUUCAAUAAUGAUCCUUCCGCAGGUUCACCUACGGAAA